This 544-nucleotide ribosomal RNA is filed under the name uncultured eukaryote. RNAcentral's name for it is "eukaryotic LSU rRNA". The stretch from base 241 to 544 matches the Rfam family "Eukaryotic large subunit ribosomal RNA", at positions 1 to 298 of the family's 3401-position model. The record is from RNAcentral.
GAAUUGCAGAACUCAGUGAAUCAUUAAGUACUUGAACGCAAAUUGCACUAGUAGUAAUACUAGUACACCUGUCUGAGUGUACGUUAAAUUAAAUUACAUAUAUUAUGUAAAUAAUGAAUAUCUAACUUUUUGUUGUUAUUUUAAAUCUAAGUUAUGAUAAUUUUAUUUUCAACAUUGCUUGAAUUUAUUCAUAGUUAAUGUUAACUUUAUAAAUUAUCUUCAUUUUAUAAUCAUCAAUCACGACCUCAUAUCAAGUGAGAUUACCCGCUGAAUUUAAGCAUAUUAAUAAGCGGAGGAAAAGAAACUAACAAGGAUUCCUUUAGUAACGGCGAGUGAAGAAGGAAUAGCUCAAAUUUAAAAUCAUGAAUCUCUGGUUUAUGAAUUGUAGUUUUAGAAGUUGGAUUCGUUUUUCAAUAAUAUACUUAAAUCCUAUGGAAAAAGGUAUCAUAGAAGGUGAAAAUCCUGUUUAUAGUAUAUUAAUUGAGGGACAUAUGUAUCUGAUUUCAAGAGUCGGGUUGUUUGGGAAUGCAACCUAAAAUGGGUG